UGCGCUUCAGUGAUUUAUUGUUCUUUGAAAAUGUCGGUUGAUGGACUUGUGUGAGUGAUCUGUUCUGCUGUGCUUGGUGGACGGGGAAUAAACAGGAUUAACCAGACAAGACGAAACCUCUGUUGCCUAGCCUUUUCGACGGCUCUCAUAUUUUGACGUGCUGCGGUUGAUUGCUUGUGUUGAUUAGUACUGCGUGUAUUUUAUUUUGCUGCUCUUGAGUUAAAAUAUAUGUAUUGGGGUAUUGCUUUGUCGCUGUCAAAGCAGUGCCGGGUGUUCAUUCUAGCAGUGGUGUACACCCAAGCAAGCAAUGGCCGAUGGCCAACGGUUGGAUAAUCGUCGGCUGCUGGUCGGCCAACGACCGUCGGCCUGCCAAUCUCAAAACAUUCGUGGCCCAUAGUAGCAGAUAACAAUGCUUGGCAUGCCGCAGUCCUGCCAAUGUUGAUAUGAAGUUGGCAGUAUCUAAGGCAUAACAAUGGUUGGCAAACUGUCGGCCAAAGUGGCUGAGCCAAUCUUUGUGGUAGACUUCUCCCCUCCAUCUCGCGGACGAUUUUUUUUCUUUUAAAAUUUCGACAGCUGGUACCGCUAGUCGCAAGCUGAAGCAUGCAAAAAGUGGUUAAUUUUGUGUCUCUGGUUUUAUGUUGUGUAAAGUGUACUUGUUGCAUCCAGUUGAUGGUGUACAUGCCUAGUCCAGGUUGGCCUCCGAUAACAUUUCAGAUAUUGCAACAUAUGGCUAAGGUUUUUUAUUUGUCACGUGCUCGCAAUGGGGUCAUAUUCACAUCAACGACACUGGGUAAUCCUUCGAGAGUUCAACAGCAAACGCAUGAAAAUUAUCCUGAUUAGAAUGAAGUUAGCAUGAGCGUAGCCACCAGACAUCCGCGCCAUUUGCAUUUUGUGCGAUGUCAAAACAAAACACAGUAGCUCCGCAGUAACGUGGCUGUAGCAAAUUUUUGAACAAUGAUAUUGUCAUUUAGGUUCGUGUCUUAAAUGUAUUCCCUUUUUUAGUAUAUUUUACAGGUAGUGAUUAACCACAAUGAAACGCAGCGGGGUUAGCAUCAGUUACCUGGUUACCGCACGCCAUGCCAAUCCAAGGCAAUGCUUGCUGCUCCCGCGUUCGUUUCACUGGUUUGAACCGUUUCGGCUCGCCGUGAAGAACUCGUGUGCAUAAUUUAUUACAUGUUUCGUGCUGCGUCAUCCAACCCGAUUUGUUUGUUGCUGGUCGUCAGCUUUUUGUCGUCCUGUCCAACCUACAGGUAAGUAUACCCAUUUGCAAAGUGUAAACAUCAUGUUGCUGGAAGUUUCCCUUCUUUGACGGUUGCGUCCCUAAACUUUGCGUUUCGUACAGGUGCUAUAGACGCUAUUUUUAAAUAGUUUAGCCAUUAUGGCUCUGCGUCAAUACAGUUAACGUCACUGCCUUCAAUCCAGUGUACCUGUUUUAAUCACAGGGAAUUUUCUAGAGUUGGUGGACUUUCCGCACCCCAUCGGUUCGUUGCGCCCAAAUGGCGUGUGAAGUAUGUUAUUACGAAGAUGAUUUUAGCUGUGUGCAACGAUGAACCAGAGCGCCGACAGUCUAUCAUAAGUUUCUCUGCAGGUUGACAUAGUAUCUUAUGUGAUCUUUUCUCUUCUUUUUAUUUAUUUAUUUAUUUUUUUGCUAGUUGAUAAUUAGUGAAGCUGAUCGCGCGAACCUUAAAAUUCACUCUAAAUGAAGUCCUUCUUACGCAUCGUGCUUUUGGGUGUGAACGCAUGUUCGUGAAAUGGAACCUUGCAUGGCCUGACCAGAAAUAUGACAUUUCCUGCUUUUUGAAAGAAAAAACAAAGGAAAAACAGGUUGUUUUCGGGGGCUUUUACGGAUACUUGGCAAAUUUUUGAAAAAUUGAUCAAAUAAAGUGUGAGCAAAUAUCAGUGGCGACUCAUCAAGGCAUUAAAAUAUUAUUGAUGGUUUGGACUCUGCUGGGUUGGAAUGUUGUGAGUCGUUCCCCAGGCAAUAACUUUGCAUUUUCAAAGCACUCAUCAGUAAUCACAGUUUCUGCUGUGCAGAGCAUCAGGAGGUGAUUGAAAUGUGAUCAAAGGUGAGCUUGUGUGAACUGUGUUUAGUAUCGACAAGUUCAGUGUGGGAUUUUUUGAGAAUUCUGAAUACUGGUGCUGCAUGUAACAAGUGGAAUGCCAUAUGCGUGUAGCGCUUAAGCUUCCGCGGUCGUUUUGUUGAAAUGAAGGCACAUCUGACGUGACAUCUCACCGAGGAAAGCUGAUAUCAACUAACUGCUCUUCCCGUUCACACAAACAUUGCGCACAGGGACUGAAAAGCUUCACUGGGUGGUAGUGUUAUAAUGGUGACAGGAAAAAAAUAUUCAUGACGUUAUGCGCCACCUUGUCUGCACUUUACACAGAUGGCUUUCAUUUGCUUGUCAAAAUGUAUCUUCUUCCUUAUCAGCUUUUUCUGCUGAAUUUACCUAAAUGAAAAAUUUAAAUUCCAUUUUAGACAAUGCGGAUGAAGCAUUUGACCUUCUGCCUGUUGCAACUUAGAGUGUGAUAGUGAGUAUCAGAACAAGACGUGUAGAUCUCGAAAAAGGGUUAUGCUCUCUGACAAUGACGACAAUGGUGAGCCAGAUGUUGUUCAAGGAACGAAGAAAGCUUCUCAGUGUUAUGUGAAGGUUCCUCCAGCGCCAACAAUGCCACCUCGACUGGUCAUAACAGAUUCAAGCACGAUACGGUCGUGCAGUCGCCCUUUUGGGCAGUCCUGGUGAAGCUGCUGCUAUUCCAAGUCAUCGGUAACGUCCAAGUACAGCAUGCUGUACUGUGUUUUCAGGGUCCACCUACAAACCGUGAUCUCUUGCUGAUCAAUUCAACCUACAGUGGUUGGUAUAGCAGGGGCCCAACACAGAGACACCAAGUCUGCUAGAGUCUGCAAUUGAGAAUGCUGUUCUCUACAUGAACCAGCAGGUGACCAGCGCUCUGCCUCGUUUCUGCACACGCGCAUGGAGCAGUCUCCCUGCCUGUCACCCUCAGUAACUCUCUUCAGUGAUUCUCAAAAUGAAUCAACUGCGUCUGCUAGAGUUCACCACAACACCAUUACGGAUGCUGUUGUAAAGAGCACUGUAGAAGCUGGCUGCCCUGGGCCAGUGACAGUGGUGGUGGCCGAAUUGGAAGGCGAAAGAAGAAGCAGACAGCAGAGGUGUGAGAAAAGAAACAUCCCAUCAGCGAAAGAUGCCGUUUUGUUGCAGGACCAGCCAGUGUGCCAUCCAACUGCACUCCUGCUCUAUUCUCUGUGCACUAUUUUAAGUGCACAUUGGACACGUUCACAGGAGUUCCACAUGUGGACGAACCACAGCGGAGUGGCAACAGUGCACUUUAAGUACGAGUACUGUUUUCCUGUAGCCCAGAUAUCUGUAGCCUUCUACCUCAGUAGUACCACACCUGCAAGGCGGUUGUUGGUAUUUGGUAAAUGAAAACAGGCGGCUGUGAGAAGAACACGGGGUACAGCUAAGGAACAGGCGGGACAACUGCUUACUCACAACUAAAACUUUAGACUAAAAACUCGCGAAGAGACACUGAAUGCAAAACCUUAAUUUCUACAACAAUAGGGCGUUGUUUUGUUAACAGAUAUCGUGAGAUAUGGGUAGACUUUCUUAUCCGGCACCGUGAGGCUUGUAUAAGCACCCGGUCGAUAACCCUCAGGACACAAACUAUCUUCUCGGCAACUAAGGUAUCUUUUUGUACUCGGUAUCCACGUUUUGAGGCGUCUCUCAUCUAUUGGAGCCCUCCGUCGUUCAGUAAAAGUUUAGUUGCGAGUAAGCAAUUGUUCCAUCUGCCCCUUAGCUGUACUUUGUAAUUGUUCUUAUGGCUGCUUGUUUCGAGUGACACUCGGCAGUACUCUUGUAUCUGCUUUCUUCUUGAGUUGCUAGUUACUGGCUGAUGAAAAGUACCGCCCUUCAUAGAUAUGUAGUGAUACAUUCUCUUUUUACAUGAGCAUCACAGUUGUGCAAGUUUCAUUUUUACCUGUGUAACUGUGGACAUCUAGUCAGAUGGGAGUUAAGUGUGGCAAACUUUAUGGAGGCAUAAUGUUACUUUCUUUCCACGUCACAAUUAUGCUGCUGAAGUUCUUCCCUCUGUGUAACUUUGGACUGGUAACCAAGAUUGCUGAUGCAAGCCAGUUGAUUUUUUAUAACAGUUAUUCUCGUAUAUUUUAAUAUAUUUCAAUCCUUUUAUCUCCAUCUGUUGCUGAUGCGAGAUUUUUUUCUCUUUGUGACACAUUUUGUGUGUACCAUUGUGUGAAGGUUAUCGUCAUUGUAGGUGCUACUGUGUCUGUCUGUUGCUUCCUUUUCUCCCAACAUUUUUUUAGAGCUGCAAAUUAUUACCCCUUGUGACAAAAAAGUCUGUGUUGUUGCCUUUUCUGUGUGUGGUAAAGCUGUAACUGCCGCGAAAUAACCAAUUGUUAUAUGUAUAUUUUGUGUUGGAUGGAGGUCGUGUGCAUCUACAGCACAGUUGAAGUUGUC
Long non-coding RNA from Ornithodoros turicata, 4490 nucleotides. RefSeq lists it as uncharacterized. The transcript has 6 exons. The record is from RefSeq and is a predicted model, not a curated record. NCBI's taxonomy places the organism in Eukaryota, Metazoa, Arthropoda, Arachnida, Ixodida, Argasidae.